UUUGACACUUUACCCACCCUUGGUUCGUUCCGUCUAUAAUCCGUAACCCACCUCUGAAUAUUCUGUUACUCUAACACGUUUUGUCCAAAAAUUUAACAAGAAAUCAGAUCAAACACUCCUCUCCCACACUCUCUCUCUCACGCUUGCUCAUCCAUUCUUAACCGAGAAUCGACUGGGUUUUGUUUGUGCAAGAACACAGAGGAAGGAGACCCACGGAUUUUGGAAGAAGGAGACCCAUAGAUUCGUGUUUGGGAACAUUUUGGUCUUGAAUCCGUUCGGAUUUCUCUUUACUUGUGACCGUUGAACCAAAAAUUCGGCCAUUAAAUUAGCUAUGACUCUGAGAGUUUCGUAGAUUGGCCAAGUUAUCUAGCUUUAUUAAAAUUAGCAGGUGGGAAUGGGAUUGCCCUGUUGCCAGGUUUGAGCGGCUAGUUACUGUCAAAGAUAAUAGUUUUGAGGUUCAAAUUAAUGGGAAUGAAAUUGGGUUUCUGCAAAGUGGUGUUUUGUAUUGCCGAGUUUUGCUGUCAAAGCAGCAAAGAGUUUAUUCCAAUGCAGCAGAAUUUUUUUGGCAUUACUGAGUUUUCAAAGCAGCAGAUUUUUCAUUCUGGCAGCUUCAAUCUUGCAGUUUUCUGUACUACUGAGUUUUGCUGUCAAAGCAACAGAUUUUUUUUCAAUGCAGCAGAUUUUAUUUGUAGUACUGAAUUUUCAAAGCAGCAAGCAGAUUUUUAGAAGCAGCAAGCAGCGGGCAGAACUUGCAGGGAGGAUUUAAUGCUUUUUUAACCAAGGGUCUAGCAUAAUGGAAAUAUUUUCUUGCAAGUUGCAAUUAUCAAGAGACUGGUCUAGAAAGUUAAUUUGUGGUGGCUUUGUUGCUUGGGAAAAAAUGCCUUAUUGAUUGAGCAUUUGAUUGGAAAAAUGCCUUAUUGCUUGUGUAGCUAAUGCUGUUACUUUUCAGUGCUAGCUGUUAUUCACUUUACAUGCCCUGUAUAAAAUGCUAUAUGCUGAGCUACAUGAAGACCAGGCGAAGGGCUGAAUGUACUCAUUGUCAUGUGAUGUUGAAGGGGGUCUCCCUUGGUGCAAGGGGUCUGUAUAUCAUUCCCAAUGGGUUUGAAAUUUCCAGUUAUGAUGAGAGGCUUGAUGGUCUUCCAGUUUAGAAAUUUUUGAGCUUUGCGAUGCUGUUGCGAAAAGAACUAGUACUUCUGAAGAUUAUGUUUCACUCAGAAUUUUGUUUAUCUGAGCUUGUUGAUGUAAUGGGAACUUAUGUUUGUAAAGUUGGAAUUUCAUUGCUAAAUGUUGUCAUGCUAGUGCUAGAUGGUUUGAAAUAAAGAAUUUGUUUUGCAUCAUUGAUCUCUA
Molecule: long non-coding RNA, 1347 nt
Organism: Quercus lobata
Lineage: Eukaryota; Viridiplantae; Streptophyta; Magnoliopsida; Fagales; Fagaceae
Exons: 2
Source: RefSeq, a predicted model, not a curated record